UUGAACGCUGGCGGCAUGUCUUACACAUGCAAGUCGAACGGCAGCACGGAGCUUGCUCUGGUGGCGAGUGGCGAACGGGUGAGUAAUAUAUCGGAACGUACCCUGGAGUGGGGGAUAACGUAGCGAAAGUUACGCUAAUACCGCAUACGAUCUACGGAUGAAAGUGGGGGAUCGCAAGACCUCAUGCUCGUGGAGCGGCCGAUAUCUGAUUAGCUAGUUGGUAGGGUAAAAGCCUACCAAGGCAUCGAUCAGUAGCUGGUCUGAGAGGACGACCAGCCACUCUGGAACUGAGACACGGUCCAGACUCCUACGGGAGGCAGCAGUGGGGAAUUUUGGACAAUGGGCGCAAGCCUGAUCCAGCAAUGCCGCGUGAGUGAAGAAGGCCUUCGGGUUGUAAAGCUCUUUCAGACGGAAAGAAAACGCAUCGGUGAAUACCCGGUGUGGAUGACGGUACCGUAAGAAGAAGCACCGGCUAACUACGU
RNAcentral lists this ribosomal RNA (482 nucleotides) under uncultured bacterium. Its description in RNAcentral is "bacterial SSU rRNA". It matches the Rfam family "Bacterial small subunit ribosomal RNA", at positions 30 to 506 of the family's 1533-position model. The record is from RNAcentral.